Molecule: long non-coding RNA, 785 nt
Organism: Mus musculus (house mouse)
Lineage: Eukaryota; Metazoa; Chordata; Mammalia; Rodentia; Muridae
Product: predicted gene, 40646
Exons: 4
Source: RefSeq, marked validated
AGAGUAUACAGGGCACAACUGUAGCCAACUGUCUAACUGAAGAUCACGCCUGGUAUUUCUCAGUUUGCAUGGAUUAUGAGUGGGGAAAGCAAGGAUUUCCCAGUUUACUGCAGAAGCUGAUGUCAUCCAGACAGACAGGGAACCAGGGAGAAGAGCAGAGUGAGGAAAGCAGAAGGGAUGACAGGGACAGUGACCUGGAGGCAGGAGCUAACCUGUGAGCCAAGAGACUCCUGAGUUAUGGGAUCUCUCUGGUGACCCACUUCCAUCGCUCUGUAGGCCACUAGGAGUACAGUGGAUUGAAUGUACUUGGCUCAGGGAGUGGCACUAUUAAGAGAAAACAAAGAGAACAAAGAAACCAACCAAACAAACCAGAAUAAUAAACAGUGUCUGGAAGGUACUGUUUUCUUGUUGUCUUCCCUCUCCUCUGGCUCUCACAAUUUUCCUACGUCCUCUUCAACAUAGCUCCCUGACCCCCUGGAAAGAGGUUUGAUGUAGACAACCCAUCCAGGACUGAGUUUUCCAAGGUCUCUCACUCUGCACACUGUCCAGCUGUGGAUCUCUGAUGUUCCCAUCUGCUAUAAGAUGAUGCUUCUCUCACGAUGGCUGAACAAGACACUGAUUUAUGAGCCUUUCAGGAUGUUGCAAGGAAUACCUUUAUUGUUAAAUUCCUUCCUCAGAACAAUAGUAUUUGGUUUUGAGCCUGGGGGACUUUUUUCUUCUUAUCCAUUUUAUCUUGAGUCUCAUAAGAAGUUAGACACAAAAAUAAAAUAAUAAAUGUACAAAAA